GCGCGGCGCGGCGCGGCGCACGCUCGUGUCGCUUGGGGCGGAUCCGCCGCCGGGGAGGCGGGCGCGUGUCCAACGCCCGAAGUUACUUUCGUCUUUGCACCUCGCCCCUACGGUUUGCGAACCACAAAGGCCACGGAUGGAGUUACAGUAGCAGCUGUCAUAAUGUUUCUUGAAUUCUUUUUCCAUCUUAAGUGUAAAGACAGCAGCUAAGUAGCUUUUAUCAACUAAGAAUUGAAUUUAGUUACAUCUUAAAAUAUUUCAGGUUAUACAGAUGUGACUUUUGUAAGAUACUAAUCGCUUGGUAAAUAUAACCAUUUAGUUUUUGUAAGACUUAAUGAGUUAAGAUUGGAAUUCAUAUAUAUUUUCUACUAACUUUGUGGUUCACAAGUGAAUUUCAAUGAAAAAAACAUAGUAUAAUCUGUUGCAUCAUUCACGUUCUUUCUCUGCAAUUAUAGAAAGACAGAAUGAUCCUGGGAUCUGCUAUCUGAUGUACUUCUGACAUAUUGCCUCCUUGAUAAUUGCAAGUGUACCUGGAGAAGCACUGCAAUCUUGCUUUGUGCUUUACAGCCACUCAGGGAUGAUGCUAUUAACUGGAAUAAAACGGGUGGCUAGGGUGUAGGUAGGACCUGUGUUUUGUACUGAUGCAAUGCUGAAGACACAGAAUUACAGAAGUAACCUUCACUGGGACUAGCAGUUCCACCGCUGGUGUUGAGUCCUAGCAGUUUGCUUCCCACUGCUUCAGCAAGCAGGAAAAACGGAUUAAAGGAACAGCCAACAAAUCCCUCUCACCUAAUCCCUCAUGAUUUGGUAAAAAUGGUUAGUUGCAUAUGAAAUACAAAUCAAAACUUUGACAAAUUGUCAUUUUCUAUCCUGAGAAAAAUACCUAUCAUCCCCCCAAAAGAGCUGAAAUAGCUGCAAACAUAAAAGCUUUUUGGAGAAAAGUUACAGGUAUAUAUGUUUAUUCAGAAAUAUGGUGGAAUCGAUUCAUCUUCAACUUCUGUGGGGGAAAGCCACAAGAGGGGGCUUAAUUUCUGUGAGGUUCUCCACAUGAAGAACUGGUGCUGAAGAACUGCCUUCACAUGAAGAACUGAUUCCAUCAGAGGGAAAGGAUUCAUACAUACCUUCUCACAGGCAAACUUACCU
Dromaius novaehollandiae (emu) is the source of this 1143-nucleotide long non-coding RNA. RefSeq lists it as uncharacterized. The transcript is spliced from 3 exons. Lineage: Eukaryota; Metazoa; Chordata; Aves; Casuariiformes; Dromaiidae. The record is from RefSeq and is a predicted model, not a curated record.